Molecule: long non-coding RNA, 899 nt
Organism: Gymnodraco acuticeps
Lineage: Eukaryota; Metazoa; Chordata; Actinopteri; Perciformes; Bathydraconidae
Exons: 4
Source: RefSeq, a predicted model, not a curated record
UGUAGCUACUGAUCCUAUACUACAGCAGAGAGGGUGAGAGCGUGAGGGAGGAGGGACAUCAGGUGUCACUGCUCUGCAACCCCAGUUGAGGCUGCAUUACCAAGACAACCAGCUCCAGGAGUGCUGCCAGCUCUCUGCCCGACCAGCCAUCCAGAUAUCUUCACAUCCAUCCCUCUGCCCAGCCUGCGAAUCCGGCCCUGCCCUGCACAGACCUGGCAACCUGCAGGAGUCAUCAGGGUUAGUGCGCCUUUGGCACGCCUCUGUGCCAGAAUCGUCUGCCAGCAUCAGGCAGGAACUUGUUUCGGGGGGAAAAAAAGACAAAGACGAUGCUUGUGAAGAAUAAACUCAUCCCAUAAAGAUUUAGAUAGAUUCAGAUUCAGAAGUUAUCCCAGAUGUAGCGAUGAUAAGGAGGAAAGGGAUACUCUUCCCCCGGGGAGGAUGCAGUGAGAUGGAAACACUUUUCUGCUUUCCGAAAGGAGAACUUCUCCCACCAUCGGGGCGCCAUCUGCUGGUUCUGGUGGGGCGGGACAGCUGGUGUUGUGAAUCAGGCCGCCGAAAUCCAAGGACCGGCUACUUCCCAACACCAGGGUCCCACCCUCACCCCUCACAUCCUCACAUGAUUGACCUCAGUCUCAAAGGACUUCCUCAUUGUAUAUGCUCUCUUGUGUUGGAUGUAAUGAUGAUUCAUUAAUUGUACUAGUCCAAAUCUGUGUGAUGUAUAUUUCCUAUGCAUUGUAUCCUGUCAAAUUAUGAAUUGCCAAAAAAGUUAAUUAAAUAUACCAAAUAAAAAUGUUAAACUAUGUCACUCCACAUUAACACAUUUAACAUGGAUAAUACCAUAUGUUUGUAGUUAACAGUAUUUCCCCAAAUAAAGAAAUUAAAUAUAAUUUUUUUUUAAA